UACGGAGGGGGCUAGCGUUGUUCGGAAUUACUGGGCGUAAAGCGCACGUAGGCGGCUUUGCAAGUUAGAGGUGAAAGCCCGGGGCUCAACUCCGGAAUUGCCUUUAAAACUGCAUCGCUAGAAUUGUGGAGAGGUAAGUGGAAUUCCCAGUGUAGAGGUGAAAUUCGUAGAUAUUGGGAAGAACACCGGUGGCGAAGGCGGCCAUCUGGACCGGCACUGACGCUGAGGCGCGAAAGCGUGGGGAGCAAACAGG
RNAcentral lists this ribosomal RNA (253 nucleotides) under uncultured bacterium. RNAcentral describes it as "partial 16S ribosomal RNA". It matches the Rfam family "Bacterial small subunit ribosomal RNA", at positions 524 to 776 of the family's 1533-position model. The record is from RNAcentral.